AGGAGGAGGAGGAGGAGAAGAAGAGGAGUGGAGAAAUACGGGAUACCUGGAAAAAGGGCUCGAAAGUUAGAAAAUCUCCAGAUCCAGUAAUAGGCGAGCAGCAAUAUGUGCGAGCAGAUUAAAAGAAGCUAAAAAAGUAGAGGCAGAUUCAUGCAUGCAUCAGUUGCGAGACAAACUCUUUGGAAACGGCGAAAUUCUCCGGAGAAGUUCGAAGAAAUCGGGGGUCGGGAAGUGGAAUUUCAGGUUCAAGGGGCACCACUGUCUCGGGAGCUACAAAAAGCUCUCCGUAUGCGAGUAAGCGAGAGAGAGAGAGAAAGAGAUGAAAUAGAAGACGGUGAUAAUAUCCUUACGUAUUAGGUGCACCGCGACAGUGGAAGAGGAGGUGGUGGUGGGUGGGUGGUGAGGGACCUUUCUCCUUCUCACUCACCUUCUUCGCCUACGCCACCAGUUUCAGAUUUCCCCUCCUCUGCGCACUGCCGUAGCCAUACAAUGCCUUUUCUAGGAUCCCAAAUUCUAAUCUUUCCCUCUUAUUAACUGCCUUUGCUUUUU
RNAcentral lists this unclassified non-coding RNA (549 nucleotides) under Hevea brasiliensis (rubber tree). Lineage: Eukaryota; Viridiplantae; Streptophyta; Magnoliopsida; Malpighiales; Euphorbiaceae. The record is from RNAcentral.